AAUCUUCGGCAAUGGGGGCAACCCUGACCGAGCGACGCCGCGUGAGUGAAGACGGUCUUCGGAUUGUAAAGCUCUGUUGUACGGGAAGAACCGUACCAGUAGGGACUGACUGGUACCUGACGGUACCUCACCAGCAAGCCACGGCUAACUACGUGCGAGCAGCCGCGGUAAUACGUAGGUGGCAAGCGUUAUCCGGAAUUAUUGGGCGUAAAGGGAGCGCAGGCGGAUUAGUAAGUCUGGGGUUAAAGUUCGGGGCUCAACCCCGUGAUGCCUUAGAAACUGGUAGGCUAGAGUGCAGGAGAGGUGAGUGGAAUUCCAUGUGUAGCGGUAAAAUGCGUAGAUAUAUGGAGGAACACCAGUGGCGAAGGCGGCUCACUGGCCUGUAACUGACGCUGAGGCUCGAAAGCGUGGGGAGCAAAU
This 420-nucleotide ribosomal RNA is filed under the name uncultured bacterium. RNAcentral's name for it is "partial 16S ribosomal RNA". It matches the Rfam family "Bacterial small subunit ribosomal RNA", at positions 360 to 773 of the family's 1533-position model. The record is from RNAcentral.